GAUGAACGCUGGCGGCGUGCCUAAUACAUGCAAGUCGAGCGGACGGACGAUAAGCUUGCUUCUCUCUUGUUAGCGGCGCACGUGUGAGUAACACGUGUAUACCCUCCCUAUAAGACUGGUAUAACUUCGGGACUCCGGAUCUAAUACCGUAUAAGCUCUUGAACCGCAGGGUUCAAAGGUGAAAGACGGUCUUGCUGUCUCUUCUAGCUGGUUCCGCGCUGCAUUAGCUGGUUGUUAAGUUAACGGCUUACCAAGGCAACGAUGCAUAGCCGACCUGAGAGGGUGAUAGGCGACCCUGGAAGUGGGACACGGUCCAGACUCCUACGGGAGGCAGCAGUAGCGAAUGUGCCGCAAUGGGCGAAAGCCUGACGGAGUAAGGCGGCGUGAGUGAUGGAGGUCUUCGGAUCGUGAAACUCUGUUAUGAGGGAAAAACAUAUGUGUACGGAACUGUGCACAUCGUGACGGUAACUAAUCAGAAAGCAACGGCUAACUACGUG
This 497-nucleotide ribosomal RNA is filed under the name uncultured bacterium. RNAcentral describes it as "partial 16S ribosomal RNA". It matches the Rfam family "Bacterial small subunit ribosomal RNA", at positions 28 to 507 of the family's 1533-position model. The record is from RNAcentral.